RNAcentral lists this small RNA (113 nucleotides) under unclassified sequences. Its description in RNAcentral is "LOOT RNA". It matches the Rfam family "LOOT RNA". Rfam says of the family: Latescibacteria, OD1/Parcubacteria, OP11, TM7. The record is from Rfam by way of RNAcentral.
CGCCUAAACUCUAAAUAAUUUUUAGGGCAUGGCAGAAAAUCCCUUGCAGCAACGAGAGCUCCUCGUUCAGUACCUGCAAGGGUCAUAUGCCGAAAGGUGUAUGGGCGCAAGCC